CUCGCCGACAGCUCUCUUUCAUUCACUCUCUCUCGCGUUGCCUUUCUUUCUCUCGUCUCUGCUAUUCACCAAGAACACGGAGGAAGAACAUCAAGGUGGACUCUCUUGAUGGUCAUGGUGAUAUGUUGAUGCUGAUGGGAAUUAUUUGGAAAUAUCUUGACCCGUAAAUUAUUUUUGGAAGAAACAAGUCGAGGUGGACUCUCUUGACGGUGUGUUGAUGCUGAUGGGUAUUAUUUGGAGAUAUCAUGACGCACAAAUUAUUUUUGGAAGGACACCCAUCGUCAAGUUGAGGUAUAAAUGA
This is a long non-coding RNA of Lolium rigidum, 301 nucleotides long. RefSeq lists it as uncharacterized. The transcript is spliced from 3 exons. Lineage: Eukaryota; Viridiplantae; Streptophyta; Magnoliopsida; Poales; Poaceae. The record is from RefSeq and is a predicted model, not a curated record.